This 253-nucleotide ribosomal RNA is filed under the name uncultured prokaryote. RNAcentral's name for it is "partial 16S ribosomal RNA". It matches the Rfam family "Bacterial small subunit ribosomal RNA", at positions 524 to 776 of the family's 1533-position model. The record is from RNAcentral.
UACGAAGGGGGCUAGCGUUGCUCGGAAUCACUGGGCGUAAAGCGCACGUAGGCGGCUUUCUAAGUCAGGGGUGAAAUCCUGGAGCUCAACUCCAGAACUGCCUCUGAUACUGGUUGGCUUGAAUCCGGGAGAGGGAUGUGGAAUUCCAGGUGUAGCGGUGAAAUGCGUAGAUAUCUGGAGGAACACCGGUGGCGAAGGCGGCAUCCUGGACCGGUAUUGACGCUGAGGAGCGAAAGCCAGGGGAGCAAACGGG